UGGAAGUAAAAGUCGUAACAAGGUCUCCGUUGGUGAACCAGCGGAGGGAUCAUUACCGAGUUAUACAACUCCCAAACCCACUGUGAACCUUACCUCAGUUGCCUCGGCGGGACCGCCCCGGCCGCCGCGCAAGCGGCGCCGGACUCCAAGGCGCCCGCCGCAGGGACCCAAAACUCUUUUGCAUUACGCCCAACGGCGGGAAUUUUUUUCUCUGAGUGCAUAAGCAAAACAAAUGAAUCAAAACUUUCAACAACGGAUCUCUUGGUUCUGGCAUCGAUGAAGAACGCAGCGAAAUGCGAUAAGUAAUGUGAAUUGCAGAAUUCAGUGAAUCAUCGAAUCUUUGAACGCACAUUGCGCCCGCCAGCAUUCUGGCGGGCAUGCCUGUUCGAGCGUCAUUUCAACCCUCGAGCCCCCCCGGGGGCCUCGGUGUUGGGGGACGGCACACCAGCCGCCCCCGAAAUGCAGUGGCGACCUCGCCGCAGCCUCCCCUGCGUAGUAGCACACACCUCGCACCGGAGCGCGGAGACGGUCACGCCGUAAAACGCCCAACUUCUUAGAGUUGACCUCGGAUCA
This 573-nucleotide ribosomal RNA is filed under the name Clavicipitaceae sp. BMP2886. RNAcentral describes it as "eukaryotic LSU rRNA". The stretch from base 242 to 395 matches the Rfam family "5.8S ribosomal RNA". The record is from RNAcentral. Lineage: Eukaryota; Fungi; Ascomycota; Sordariomycetes; Hypocreales; Clavicipitaceae.